Chlorocebus sabaeus (green monkey) is the source of this 10921-nucleotide non-coding RNA. Lineage: Eukaryota; Metazoa; Chordata; Mammalia; Primates; Cercopithecidae. The record is from RefSeq and is a predicted model, not a curated record.
UAUAGAUACUUUAACAAUAUUAAUUCUUUCUAUUCAUAAACAUGGGAUAUCUUUCCAUCUAUUUGUGUCUUCUUCUAUUUCUUCAUCAAUGUCUUACAGUUUUCAGUAUAAAGACCUUUCAUUUCUUUGGUUAAAUUCAUUCCUAAGUACUUUUUAAUGUUAUUGUAAAUAAGAUUGUUUCUUUGGUUUUGUUUUCAGAUACUUCAUUGUUAGUAUAUAGAAACACUACUAUUUUUUAUGUUGGUUUCUUAUUUUGCAACUUUACUGAAUUUGUUUAUUAGUUCUAAUAAUUUUUUGCUGGCAUCUUUAGGGUUUUCUAUGUAUGAGAUGCCAUCUGCAGAAACCAUUUUACUUCUUCAUUUCUGAUUUGGAUGCCUUUUAUUUCUUUUUCUUGUCUAAUUGCUCUGUGUUGAAUAGAAGUGGCAAGAGUGAGCAUUCUUGUCUUGUUGCUGAUAUUAGGGGUAAAGCUUUCAGCUUUUCAUUAUUGAUUAUGAUUGUCAGUUGUGAGCUUGUCAUACAUGGCCUUCUAUACCUAAUUUGUUGAGAAUUUUUAUCAUGAAAAGAUGCUGAAUUUUUGUCAAAUGCUUUUUCUGCAUCUAUUAAGAUGAUCAUAUGAUUUUUAUCCAUUAUUAUGUUAAUAUGGCAUAUCACUUUUAUUGAUUUGCAUAUGUUUAAACAUCUGUUCAUGCCAGGCACAAAUCUCACUUGAUCGUGGUGUAUGAUCCUUUUAAUGUGCUGCUGAAUUUAAUUUGCUAGUAUUUUGUAGAAGAUUAUUGCAUCUGUGUCCAUCAGGAAUAUUGACCUGUAAUUUUCUUUCCUUGUAGUGUUCUUCUCUGGCUUUGGUAUCAGAGUAAUGCUGGACUUGUAAAAUGAGUUUGUAAUAUUCCUUCCCCUUCAAUGUUCUGGAAGAGUUUGAGAAAGGUUGGCAUUAAUUAUUCUUUAAUUGUUUGGUAGAAUUCAACAGUAAAGCCAGCAGGUCCUAGGCUUUUCUUUGUUGAGAGGUUUUUGGUUACUAAUUCAAUCUCUUUAGUCAUUACUGGUUUGUUAAGAUUUUCUAUUUCUUCACAAUUGAGUCUUGGUGGAUUGCAUGUUUCUAGGUAUGUAUGCGUUUCUUCCAGAUUACACAACUUGUUGUGUGUAACUUUUCCUAAUAGUAUCUGUGAUCCUUCAUAUUUCUGUGGUAUCAGUUGUAAUGUCUUCUCUUUCAUUUCUAAUUUUAUUUGAGCCUUCUUUUUCCUUAGUCUAGCUAAAAGUUUGUCAGUUUUGCUUAUCUUUUCAAAAAACCAGCUCGUUGCUUUAACUAUUACACUUUGCUGCUCUUUAUAGAUAGCGUUGGUUAGAUUCCUUCGCUCUACGUUAGUUCAUUCUUUCUUCAUCUGCUCACCCCCAGUAUUGCUUGCCAAGUGAGGAAUGGUUCCAUCCUUUCAAGGAGAUAAACAAUAAAAUGUAAGAUUAUCUCUGAGUGAGAAAAAAGAUGCUCAAUAAAGAUAUCUGUCAGGUAUUAUUAAAACCCAGAAGAAGAGCAAACCUUGGAUAUAAUUCACUCAGUGUGGGAAGGCUUCCAAGAGAAAGACAUUGAGCUGUUCUUGAAAGACAAACAGAAUUUAGUCUGAUUUCCAUUUGGUGACUGAGGCAAAACGAAAGUCUGAUAUGUUUGGGCAACUUCUUGUAAGUGGCCUAGCAUGAGUACAGCAUAGUUCAUGUAAGGGAACCUGACGAGAGUUCAGGCUAGAGUGUAGGACAGAAGCCAGAUCAUAAACGUGUGUGUGUGUGUGUGUGUGUGUAAAUGUAGAUGUAUGGAUGCAUGCAUGUGCGAUUGUGUGUGUGCACAUGGGUGUUUGCAUGUAUGUGUAUGGGCCCAUAAAUUGAAAGCAGGGAGAGCGAAAAGAGACUUAGAGGAGUGGUCCAGAGAUUUGCUGAGAGCUAGUCUCUAUAGCCCAUACCCUGAUUCCACCCUAGAGAAAAGCACUAGCAUCCAAUAAAAGUCUAUUUUUUCUUUUACUUCAAUAAAGCUAUCUUCAGCACUUCUCAAACUUUACCGUGCACAUAAAUCACCCAGGGAUCUUGUCAAAAUCAUAUUCUGAUACAGCAGGCCCGAGAACGCGCCCUGAGAUUCUGCAACUCUAACAAGCUGCCAGCUGAGGCCAGUGCUGCUGGUCUGGGAACCACAUUUUGAGUAGCAAGAGGCUAGAGCACAUCUGUCCUCCUGUAAACAGUAAAUAGUGAUGAGAAUCCAGGCCUUAGAACCCAAAGAUCUCAUUCACUAGUUGUACAAUUCGGGACCAAAACCUCUCACUUUCUGAGGGUAUUAAUCACCUCAUUUAUAAACUGAUUACUGAACUAGAGAUGAUCUCCAAGUUGCCUUCCCAUUCAUUAAUUUUACAUUAAUUUUUUUAAAUGUAAAUAAUGAAAGAUGAAGUACUGUGGAUUUCCCAGGAAGAAGACAUUCAGAUUAAAAACAUAAACUCAGACACAAAUGUUUGAUUAUACUACUUAAGGCCAUACAAGGCAUCUUUAUGACAUUGUACACAUGGAUCAAAAUAUCACAGGUGCUCCAAAAUAUGUACAACUAUGAUAAAUCAAUUUAAAAAGAAUCAAAUAACAAUAAUAAAGAUCUCAUUAACAAAAAAGUGGCCUCUAGCCUACCAGUUUGCAAUCUUAGCAAUGAACACUGUGCAGCUAUGAAGUUAUUGUCUCUCAGCUCCAAAGCCACCCUUCUAGACCUUACUUGGUCCACAAAUCCCAGCCACUCUCUGCUAGGCUCUGCCAACAGAGGGCGCUAGAGGGAGGCUUCAAGGCUGGGGAAGGAAGAAAGGACUUGUCCUUUCUGUUCCUGUAGUUUCACCCUGACUGCCGCAAUUCCUUUCCAGACAGCAGCUGCAUCCAAUUAGCAGAAGCCACACUGCACUUCAUUCUCCUCUCCAACACCAGCAACUGCCAGCCAGGGCCUGUCUUCAGAGAGCUGAGUUGCAGCUUCAUGGAACCCCUUUUCAAGAUUCUAAGUUAUAAUCAUUCCAAUCUCUUUCCUUUAUUCUCCAAACCCUAGGUAGUACAUGCUUCUCCCUGCAUGUACUACCUCAGUGAUACUUUUCAAAAGCAUUUCAGCCCACCCUGUUAAUAAUUUUUACAUUAAAAUCUCUCUUUUCAAAUAACUGGUAUGAUUUCUGUCUCCUGACUAUCCUAUGACUGAUCUAGACACCUAGACAAAUUGAAAAACUUUAGAAGUCAGAUGUUGAAUUCAACCCCUUAGUUUUACCAGACGAGGAGGCUGAGCCCCAGAAAGGGUCAAUAACUUGCCCAGAACCUCAAUGCUGGCCGAAGACUUGCUGGCACUGCAUUUCUGGUCUCCUGGUUCCAGGCCUGGUGCUUUCACUACUAAACCUCACUGUCCAAGGCCGUGGAGGUACCAGAGAGAAUAAGAAGAGCUUUUCAAAUGCUGUCUUUGAAGUCUAGGAAAAGGAAGAAUGAAGGAAAAAUGAGCCUAUCACCAGGGAAGGGAAAUACCAAAUUAACAAUGUCUCUGGAAUGGUUAUGUUAUUAGAUUCAUUUAAAAUCUGUCUUUAGCAAAAGAAAUUUUAAAAAUACAUUUGGAAAAUUAGAGUGCAGUGGAGUUAUCAAAAAUUACUUUAGUGUGAAGCAGAUAAGGAACUAGUUAGAAAGCUAGAAAUUCAAUCAUCCUUCAAUUUCACUCAACAAGCUCAGUGGCAUAUUAGGGAAAUGACCCUAAUAUACUGAGAUUUUUGAGGAAAUUGAAAACCAGGAUUGCUACUUGCAGAGUAGAGGAGGAGGAGGAGGAGGAAGAGGAGGAAGAGGAGGAAGAGGAGGAGGAGGAGGAGGAGGAGGAGGAGAUUGAAAGGAGGUGGGAUGUGGCGGAGUGGAAGAGACUUUUAGUUGGUGGUAACACAACAAAGGAAAUAGAAUACCCCUCCUUGGAAGAGGGAGGAGCCUGCAGUGACAGGCACCAGGCAAGAAAGAUCCCAAUUCUGAGACUGAGACAUCUGGGCCGUGGUCCUGGCUCCAUCAUUACCACAACAUGACUGUGGGCUGCCCAUUCAGCCUCUCUGACCAUUAUCACAUCUUUGUAAAAUUCAGUGCUCAUCUUCGCAGUUGUUAGGAUUAUAAAGGGGAGUGGAUUUAAAGUAUCUAGCAAAAUGCCUGGCACCAAAGUAAAUGCACAAUUAAUAAAAGCUGCUAUUGAUAUUAUUAGCAGUACAACUUAAAAUUAGGACCCUGGAAAGCCACAGGAUUAGAAAAAUAAAAAUAAGAUGGUGGUAUUUUAAAAACAAGUCAAUCACAUACGAAAGGAAUAUGAGGAAAGAGGAUACAGAAUAGCAGAGGAAACUUAUUUUUAGUAGUAUGCCCUUUAAAUGUACCUCCCUCUCGCCUUACCUGGAGAAGGAGCCAGGUUCCAAUAAAAAGCUUUUUUGAAAAAUAUUUUUGAAGUUUCCUCUAACAAGACUUUGAGGGGGGGGAUUUUUUUUUUUUUUUUUUUUUUUGCUAACUCAGAUUUCUUCAGUUCCCACGUUAAAUUUUAUCUCCUUAGAAAGGCAUCCCUGAUGUUCCAAACUAAGGCUCCACUAACUUUUUCUAUAAAGGGAUAGAGCAUAGAUAUUUUACUUGUAAAAUGUGCUUUGCCAAUCUUCUAUGGUCUCUGUCACAUCAUAUUAUUAUUCCUAAGUUUACAACCCUUUACGAAUGCAAAAAAAAAUUAAAAAAAAAAUAGGUCACAGGUUUGUAGGCCAUAGUUUGUUGGUUCCUGUUCCAAAUUUCAGUUGCCCCUCAUAGUCUUUUGGCAGUGUACCAUUGCUUUUCCUUUGUAUCGCAUGUCUCUAGUUGAUAUUGUAUAUUUAUUUGUUUGAUAUUUGCCAAACUCCUGUGACUGUAAACUCCUGGAGGAAGGGACCAUGCUGAUUUUGCUUGAGCAGAGUUCGCCACUGUUUCUCUAGCACAGAGGUGUACACGUAGUAGGUAUUCCAUUAAUAUUUGUCCAACACAUAAAAUAAUAUAAAAGUAAUUCCUAUUCACUGUAAGAAAAUCUGAAGAAUAUCCCCCAAAACGUAUAAAAGGUAAAGCAAAAAUCUAUUCAUCAUACCACCACUCAGAGGCAGCUGUUAGCAGCCUUCAUUUUUGUAUUUGUAUUCGUAUGUGUAUAACUACAUACUGUAUUUACAUGAUAGAAACCUUUUUCUAUUGAAAGCUUCAUAGUCUAGCUUUUCACUUAAUAAACAACUCAGCAAAGAAUAUUUUUUGCAUAUGUCUUUGUUGGUGUUUCUAGUUAUUUGUUCAGAAUGGAUUCCAAGAAAUUGAAUCAUGAGAUCGAAGGAGAUCAACAAGUUUGUGGCUCUUGAGACACAAUGCCAAAUAUCCUUCCAGAGAGCUGGCAGAUAUCAGAAACCUCUUUCCAGCUUUAGAGAUGCUUUUCACACCGACAGAGUAUUUUCUCUCCACACCAGAGGCAGCAGGAUAAGAUGUACUAUCAGACCGCACUGGCUUACCAUGGUGACAUGAAAGCAGAAGCCCUGCGUGGGUGAGCUUCUUUAUUUAGCAAUUAACCAAAGACAAAGAAGACACUUCUAGCCUUUUUCUUGCUUGAAUAUGUAGAAAUUAAAUGCUUUCAUUAUCCUGAGAGGAUUAUGAGCUUCUUUUUCCUGUACCAACUCAAAUAUUUAUUUGACUGUAUGCAUAUGCUUCCCAGGGAUAAAAAUCAGCAUCUUCCAACUAAACCAUCUCCAUUCCAUCUAUGAUAACAUCUCUAAAAAGUAAUUCCUGUCAUUUCCAUUCCAUUUAUUUAUUACUCAACCAAAUAUACCCCCCUUGGAGGGUAAUAUUCUCUUGGACUAGCGUGUGGGGUUCACAGUCCUUCAAAGUGGUAAAUGUGAUAAAUGUUUUAACGUAUAUGGGAAUCCCACAAAGAACUCUCACUUUGGUAUUAAAUCAUGGAGGAACAUCAGGGUAUCCAUUUGCACACCCUAUGAAAUAAGACGCAUUGGGUAAGUCAGUCAGGUGCUUUGUUUAUGUGGCAUCUGGAUGCUUGGAAACUUCUGGAUGAGCAAACACUUUAUUUUGGGUCAAAAAGGUUUGGCUUGAACACGUCAUCUAGUGGAAACUAAUCUAGAAUCACCAUGUUAGACUUUUCUAGUCUUUUAUGGGUCCAGUAAACUCAAGUGAAUGAAUCUUCAGAAGUGGGUUAACUUGUCCAUUCUCUUGGUAGUUGGAACUGUUUCCUAAAUGUCACAUAAGAUAUUCGGAUACAAAUGUGUAGAGGAGAAAUGAAAGGACAAAAAAAUGAGCAAUUUGUUGAUCUCCUGCCAUAUGUAAGAUAGUAUGAUAGGUCACAUGUCUAAUAAUUUCAAUUUGUCAUUCCAACCUUGUGAGGGAGGUACUAAUGGCUUCAUUUAACAGAUGAAGAAACUGAGGUUAAGAGAUUUCCUCUCUGACCACAAUUAUUAAAGUGUAAGUAAACUUUCCCAAUAUCUGAUGAAAGAACCUAGGAUUAUAGUUGAGUGAGUCACCAAUGCCCCAAACGAUGACAUAGCCCAUGAGGGAAGACACACCAAUGCUCUUCAAGGACAGCAGGGCGGGUGAGGCAUUUGUCACUCUGCCUGACGAUGCAACAUUCUCACUCGCCCUGGCCCCUCAGCUCAGGGCAAGCCACAGCACAGCAGAAGAGUAAAACCACCCCUCCUGGAAGUUCUAGAUUCUGAAUGUGUCUAAUAGGCCCAGAGGUGAGGGUCUAUAGGCAGAUCGGAGAGUCUGAGAGACGGAAGCCCCUUGCUUCAGCAACAUUGUGUAAGGACAGAGCCUUAAAUCAGGAAGAGGUUCUCUCUUCAACUAUAUACGGGAGAAACUGAAGACUUUGCCUGGCAGCCUAGAGACCUUAUCAUCACAGGAGAUGAACAGCCAAGAUGAAACCAUGAGACAGCAUUCUGGGCCAAGCAGUGAGCAAUGAGGAGACCCAGACCUCAGGGUCCUGGCUGUGUCUUUGGUGAGUAGAGACAUAUCCACAGCCACAGUGGAAGCAGCUGCAACAGAAAGGAUUUAAGACAUCAGGGAGGUUUCUGGCUGGGGCUUACCCUAGCCUUGGGGCAAAGGAGUAUCUGUCACUUUCCUUAAUCUUCUCUCAAGCCAAAAAGAAGAGACAUUAAGAAAGAUUCCCUGAGGAUACUGCAAGAACACUGAAAUUGCCUUGUUUGCAUACCACUACACUAGAGAUGUUUCACAAAAGCCACUUCCCUUUUGGUACCUCCUAUCCAGAAUGACUCCAGGUAAGACGGGUGAGAGGAGGUGCCAUCUGGGCCAGUGGAGGUAUGACACCUCUGAUAGCUCUCCUGGGCACUGUGGGCAUAUCAAAUAGGAUCAUAACCCAAUGAGGCUCAGUGAUGCCUCUGCCAUUUCACUUAAGACCAAGUUGUGGUCAUUUCUAGAGAGUGGAAUAUUGUGUCUGAUGAGAUAUAGGAGUAGUCCAGGGGUCUCACAAGAGGGCAAAAGCAGAAGCCAACAGGGCCCAGGCAGGUUAUACAAAUGGGUGAUACUUCCAGGCAUCCCUAAUAGGGAGUGUGGUGACUGAGGAAUACAUGUCCAUCUAAAGGGAGCAGCCACCACCUAACUUCAGCCAACUGCUACGUUACAGAAGAUAGACCCUAUUCCUACGGUUUCAAAAAGAACCAGAAAUCUAGAUUGCUAAAUAAAAUCUCUGAGUUUUAAAACACUACUAGCCAAACAGUAGUCUCACCUACUAUUUGAGAACCCUGUGUGACAGAGAUUUGUGCAGGCUUGAAUAGUAUGUUUAGAAAAUGAGUAUUCACAUUAAAAAAAAAAAUAGGCAACUCCGGGGUCAAAUCUCUUAAUCCUAUGACAGUUACUGUUAAUCUGCUAUUGACCCUUUUAUCAAGUAUUGAGCAACCCCUGGAUACUGAUGUCCUAUGCUCUCUCCCACUUCAGAGUCUUCACACUGCUCUUUCCUCUAUCUAGAAUGUUCUUUGUUCACAUCUUUGCAUGGCUGGCUCCUUCUCAUAUUUCAGGCAAAAUCUUAAAGAGGCCUUCACUGACCAUCCAUCCUCAACAGCCUCUUCCUCCAACAGGUGGAAUCGUAAAGACCAGUUAGCAGGCCACCACGUGUGUUUCAAGUGAAUGACACUGAUGACUUGGACCAGGACAAGACUUCCCUUUCUAGGACCCACAGAGAGGUGAGGCAGAGAGAACAAGGCAAGGACAAAACUUCUUUGGACUAUUUUCUGCACAUCCCCAGCAGAGAUUGAUGAAUGCCUCUGAGUCAGCAAAAUCUCCAGUGGUGAAAUAGAAAGCGUACACUCCGCACAUUCAGGCAGCCCAGGCCAGCCCACACGGAGAAGAGGAUGUUCACAUCCAGCCUGUUCAGUGGACCCCAUGGGGCAUGUCAAAGGCUAUUACAUUUCCAGGACCUUCUAUCACACCCCCUUUCUUCCAUCCCUGCUAAUAUUUGUGACUUUCCAGCUUUCUUCUCUGAAAUUAAAAUAAAUCCUUUGCAAAGUGAAAUCAGUUCAUCUGAGCUAGUGCUGGUUAAGAUUUACAAAAUAAAGAGGAAGUUUACACCCACCGGCCUCAAAGAGUCAUUUUAGCCGGCAGUCAUUAGCUCCACCAAGGACCCUAGUGUUCUCUGUCUGAUAGCGUUGCUGGUGGAAAGGAUGCGGGAAAUUCUUUGUGCUCUGUUGCUCUGCUCCAUACUCAGUGACGGAUCAUCUCUUGGGCCCCUGACACAAAGGAUGGCAAUGUCACCACUCAGCUCUCUGGCAGCCUAUUCUAGGCUGACAGUCUAGCCUCAGGGAUCACUGCAGACCCCUGCAGUUUCCCCUUCCAGUGAAAUCAGCACCCAGCCUUUUACACCCGCUAGCUAGGACACAAACAACAUCCCUCUCUCACCUACGGAGAUGGGCUGGUACUGACUCCAGCACCCUGAGAGAGGCCAAUGCCUACUUCACACUUGCAUCUUAUUGAAGUCAUGCAUUUUGCAUAAAAGUUGUUUAAGGUUUUAUGUGUAAUGCAUACCUGGAAACGUCUUCCAGGGAUGGGACAGCAAGGUAAAGGAGAAGCAACAGACUUUGAAGUCAGAUAUAACUGGACUUUUCAAAUCCUAGAUCUGUCACUGACUAGUUUCUACAAGUUACUUUACCCUCUUAGAGUCUAGGUUUUCUCAUCUGUUAAACAGUGAAAAUGAUGUUUGCCUUGCAGGUCAUUAUAAAGGUUAGAAAUGGUAUAAGAUAAGAUACCUAGUACAAAAUGGAUGCAAAGAAAGAGCUUAUCAAAUUGUAGCUCUUGGUAGUGGUGGUAGUGGUAUAAUUAUUAUAAUUUGCUUUUAAAUUAGUAAAAAAGUAACACGGUAUACAAGACAGUGUGAAAUAAUUGAUUUAUUCAUAUCAAUUUAUUUUGCUUUCUAUGAAGAAGUCUGUAUGGGAGAAAAUAAGCCUUUCAACUUCAUUAAUAUAAAGGAAGCCAUAGUGACAAUGAGUGGCAACACGGGAUAGGAAAAUCACAUUAGGAACUGGAGUCCAGCACUCAUCCUUUAAGGUCUCUGAGCAACACUGCCCUCAUUGCAUAAAUACAGACUAUCACUCUGCUCAUCUCACAGAGUCAUUUAAAGAUCAAAUAGGAGUGAUUAGGAAAACCACUGAAAAUCUAUAAAGCACUGUACAAGAUUUUUUAACGCAGUUCCAUUUUUCCAUGCUACCCAAGAUAUGUGCAAAUAUUCCAAACAUCAUCACAAAUACAUGAAGGAAGCCACGCGGGGAUAGUUCCUACUUUUUAUAUAGUAUGAUAAGCAAAAACCCUGACAUCUCAGCAGCUCCUACUCAUACACAGCCUUUGCAUAAACUACCUGGUUCUCUACUCUGGCUGCACAAUAGUAUCACUAGGGAGCUAUUAAAAAAUGCAUAUGCCCAUGACUCAUCCAUAGACAUUCUGGCUUAAUUAUUCUAGAGCAAAGUCUGUAGUUUUUGUCAGCAGCUCCUCAGGUGACUCUAUUGGGCAGUCAGGAUUAAGGACAUUAAUCUAGUGCAGUGGUUGUCAACUGGAAGUGAUUUUGCCCCCCAGGGGACAUUUAGUAAUAUCUGGAGACAUUUUCGGUUGUCACAGCUAGGAACAGGGUGCUACAGGCAUCUAGUGAGUAGAGGCCAGGGAUGCUGCUAAGCAUCCUACAACGCAAAGGAUAGCCCCUCAGAACAUGGAAUUGACCGGCCCAACAUGUCAAUAGAGCAUGACUGAGAGGGGCCACACAGAGGACUCAUUCUAAAGAAAGUCAGUAACUGACCAUAGUGCACAAAAAUAGCUCAGCAAAAUUUCUGGUCUCACAUGCUCUCCAGAACCUUGUCAUUUCCUCCAUUAGAAGAUGGAGUCUAUUUCUUCUCUUCUUGAAAUUGAAUUGGUCUUUAUUACUAUCUCAACAAAUAGAAUUCAAGGAAAUAACAUGCUUGACUUCUGAGGCAAAGUCACGAAAGGCUUCUGCUUGUCUUUCUCUCUCAAGAUCUCUUUCCAAGAUCUGCCCCUUUGGAAACCCUAAGCCAACAGGUUAAAAAACAAUCCAGCUACCCUGGAGCUGCCAUGUUAGAAAGAUCACAUUUAGAGAUCAUAUGGAGAUGGAGAGAGAUGUUCAAAAGAAGCCCCAGCCAUCUGUGUCUUCCAGUCUGGGUACCAGAUAUUUGUGUGUGUGAGCCCUCCGAUGAUUCUAGCCCCCACCUUCCAGCUGCCCCAGGCAAUGUCAAGUUGGACAGGGGCCAGGUGUCUGCCCAGACUGCAGAUUUAUAAGCAAAGUAAAUGGCAUGGUGGUUUUGGUUCUAUGGGGAAUAUAUGUGUGUUUGCUUGUUUGAUAUCCAAUAAUAGAUAACCAGAAUAAACUCUCUCAUGAUUCUAUAAAAGAUCCAUCUCUAAACCCUCUUCAUUGGGCCACCAA